CCAGGACGAUGAAUGGGCGAUGAA
Molecule: non-coding RNA, 24 nt
Filed under: Arabidopsis thaliana (thale cress)
Lineage: Eukaryota; Viridiplantae; Streptophyta; Magnoliopsida; Brassicales; Brassicaceae
Source: RNAcentral